CGCCUGUCGCUAUCUUAUCCUCUCCCAGUCCCUUCUCCACCGCUCACUCGCAUCCCACACACUCGCCUCGUGGAGAACUGUCUUGCGCCGGCGACGAGGCAGGGGACGUCAGAAAGGAGCCAGGGGGCGAUGGAGACGAGGAGUUGGAAGAACGCCGUCUAGCAGCUCCACCGUACCCAACAUCGGGGGUGUCCCGCGGCGGAGACAAGGCGGGCUACGCCGUCCUCGAGGUGUUGCGGCUUGCGGCCAUGGGGGAGGAGGCUGAGGAGGCCCCUUGGUUGUGCUCCGACGGAUCCCGGAUGGAGAGCCCGAGCGCUAGCGUGGGGAGGAACCGCCGGUUGCAGCGGUGGCGGCGGAGAGGAGGCCCGGCGAAUGAGCUGUGAUGGAGAUGGCCGUGCUUAGGUGCGGCGGGGGCGACGGAGAGGAGGCGCGGCGAAGGAGCUGCGCUGGAGAUUGCCGCAUUUAGGUGCGGCGGGUGUCGAGAUGUAGCCGGAGACCUACGCUGCGUGGUGGCACUGCUUCCGUCGGCGGUGGCCGCGCACUUCGUGGUGGCCACCACGGAGCUCCAACUUGGCGUUCACGAGUUUGAACUGCGCAAGGACGGGGCGGCUCGCUGGACUAGCCAUCCCAUGUCUAUUACCUAUGGCGCCCGAGCUGGCUGUCAACGAAGAGAUGGUGUCCUGAGGCAAUGACGUUUCUGGGCUCAUCCCAUUUUGGGCUGGUUCGCUGGAGGGGAGGAGCCAAAUCGCUAGCGACAAGGUUGUGCGAUGUGGGAUCGUUCGGGCUGGAGGGGUACUUCUACAGAACGAGUUUGUUCGUUCCAGCGACCCUUCCAGCACGAGCGAUUCGUUAGGGCUGGGGUGCCUCCACGCCGAACGUUCGGUGGUUAUCGGUGUCCUUUGGAAAUACAUACUUGUCUUCUUUGUUAGGACAAACGUGAAUUAUGAAAUUUUGCACAUACAUAA
Triticum aestivum (bread wheat) is the source of this 965-nucleotide long non-coding RNA. RefSeq lists it as uncharacterized. The record is from RefSeq and is a predicted model, not a curated record. NCBI's taxonomy places the organism in Eukaryota, Viridiplantae, Streptophyta, Magnoliopsida, Poales, Poaceae. The transcript is spliced from 2 exons.